CCUACGGGUGGCAGCAGUGAGGAAUAUUGGUCAAUGGACGAGAGUCUGAACCAGCCAAGUAGCGUGAAGGAUGACUGCCCUAUGGGUUGUAAACUUCUUUUAUAUGGGAAUAAAACGUUCCACGUGUGGGAUUUUGUAUGUACCAUAUGAAUAAGGAUCGGCUAACUCCGUGCCAGCAGCCGCGGUAAUACGGAGGAUCCGAGCGUUAUCCGGAUUUAUUGGGUUUAAAGGGAGCGUAGGUGGAUUGUUAAGUCAGUUGUGAAAGUUUGCGGCUCAACCGUAAAAUUGCAGUUGAAACUGACAGUCUUGAGUACAGUAGAGGUGGGCGGAAUUCGUGGUGUAGCGGUGAAAUGCUUAGAUAUCACGAAGAACUCCGAUUGCGAAGGCAGUUCACUGGACUGCAACUGACACUGAGGCUCGAAAGUGUGGGUAUCAAACAGGAUUAGAUACCCUAGUAGUC
Molecule: ribosomal RNA, 460 nt
Filed under: uncultured bacterium
Lineage: Bacteria
Description: partial 16S ribosomal RNA
Rfam family: Bacterial small subunit ribosomal RNA
Source: RNAcentral